GAUCCUGGCUCAGGAUGAACGCUGGCGGCGUGCUUAACACAUGCAAGUCGAGCGAAGCACUCUGCUUUGAUUCUUUCGGGAUGAAGAGCAUUGUGACUGAGCGGCGGACGGGUGAGUAACGCGUGGGUAACCUGCCUCAUACAGGGGGAUAACAGUUAGAAAUGGCUGCUAAUACCGCAUAAGACCACAGCACCGCAUGGUGCAGGGGUAAAGACUCCGGUGGU
RNAcentral lists this ribosomal RNA (224 nucleotides) under uncultured bacterium. Its description in RNAcentral is "partial 16S ribosomal RNA". It matches the Rfam family "Bacterial small subunit ribosomal RNA", at positions 15 to 219 of the family's 1533-position model. The record is from RNAcentral.